ACAGCCAUAUCACGUUGAAACAUAGGUUCCCGUAGGAUCACCGAAGUUAAGCAACAUCGGGCUUGGUUUGUAGCGAAAUGGGUGACAGCAUAGGAAUAUCUCUUGCAGUC
Non-coding RNA from Acanthosepion pharaonis, 110 nucleotides. The record is from the annotation of a GenBank genome assembly. NCBI's taxonomy places the organism in Eukaryota, Metazoa, Mollusca, Cephalopoda, Sepiida, Sepiidae.